AUCAGUUUGCACAACCCUUCACGUUGCCCAAUCCAUGACUGAUAUAAAAUAACUCUUACACUGGGAGGAAGGUAGUUUCUGGGUGCCACAUCUACUGUAGAAGAGAAUCCAGAGCGUUAUAUGGUCAAAAGAUGCAUUUGAUCCUCCUGCUGUCCAGUCUUCUUCUUUUGGGAACAUCUCUGGCCAACGGACAUGACACGGAUCCUGAAGGAAAAUUGCUGAAUUCUGUGGCUGCCGCUGUAGACAGGCUUGAAAAAAAGAUAAAAGAGGUG
Non-coding RNA from Pseudonaja textilis, 272 nucleotides. Lineage: Eukaryota; Metazoa; Chordata; Lepidosauria; Squamata; Elapidae. The record is from RefSeq and is a predicted model, not a curated record.